UAAACCACAUUUCAGCUCCUCCGUCGUUGACAUUACUGUUUCAAUUCCUUCUGUUGUUGAGCCUUUGCAAAUCCUUCCUCACUGAUCGAUCUUGCAAAUCCUUUCUGUUUCUUUUAGCUUACAGAGCUUCAUUCUCCAAUUUUUACAACAAAUUGAAGGUUGUUUUACAAUUAAGAGCACCCUGGUCUUCUGAAAUAUUGUAUAACAGCUAAUUUUGAUAGAUUUGAAGAACUCUGAAGUGUUGAUGUCGCACGUAGUCAGCUAGUCGCCUCCAUCUCAGAUCUAUCCUCCGUUGUCAUCGACUAUCUCGUCUUGCCAGGUAACCUUUCACCAUUUCUAAGUUAUUCUGUUAUUCCUCUCUUCAUCUGAGCUUAACUCUUAACUCAAAUAUACUUAGGAAAUAUAAUAGUUUGUAGAACUUUCCUGAACAUAGCUGCUGUCCAUUCACCUCUCCACAUGCGUUUCAAUGGUGAAAUGGAGCUGAUUUCUUUGUCCGCUUGAAACCGGUUCAACACAAAGUAUUUUUGAAAGUAUUGUGACCACUGUCGUGCUGCAUGAGAUAUACUUUCGAUUGGACAGUUAAGUUCCACUUCUUUCUUUAAUUUUAUCUCAAAUCAGUGGAUUGAGAUUCUAUUGAAGCUAAUACCACCACUUAGUCCAAGAAAAUUCAAAGAAAUUGAUGAACUUAUUUCUUAAACUUGUGCUACAGUCUUACCCCAACUCAAAAUCGAAACUUACAUUUUGAUUACAGUGAACCAAUAUUUGAAUAUGCAAUUAUUCGACACCUUAAGCUCUCACCAGGUACAGAUCUUCGUAUUCGUAGAUUUAUGUAUAAUACAGGUACUAUCUAAUCUCUAUAAGCCCCAAUUUCGAAUUAUUGAUCAUUCUAUUUCAUCCCUUGCAUGCGUGUUGAUAUAUCUCCCUAUUCUGGUACAUAGUUGCCGAGAUAAUAUAGACAUUAUCCUAACAUAGUUCUUUGUUGUCUUCCUUAUUGUUGUUUUUGUAUAGAGUGAACUAUUGUAUUAUUUGUUUGAUUCAUCAGCAGCUUUUCAGGAUUUAUAGUAUUUAUUUUUUUUCUGAAAGAAAAUGGAAAAACCACUAUGAGAUUGUAUGUAGUGGCAAACAACUAAUAGCUUAUUUUAUAGUUGUUUCCUUUUCUUUUUCGUGAAAUGUCGAUAUCAUGGUUGUUACAGGAUAAGAAUUGGCUACCAGUUACUCAAUGCAGACACUAAAUUCACCGACUAAUAACACCUUUCCCAGAGAGCCAGCCAAUUUUGAUGAGGUUUCUAUGCAUCAAAGCAGAAUUUUUUACCAAUAUUAUCCUUAUUGUUUCACUCAAGCUUUCACCACAUCCUUAUGUUAUUUCAGUUAAAUGAAAACAUCCUCCAAAUUUUCAAAAGUUAUCCAAAAACAUCCUUCCAUUAAGUGUUAUGUUAGUAUUAAUGUUGAUCCGUUUGUUGCAUGAGUUGGUUUCAUUUUCUUAAAGGAAUGUCGGAUACAUGCACUUAACGAAUUUACCAUUCGUCCUGUUAAAGGUGUAUUUUAUGUUUCUCUAACUUUUGUUGCAACAGGAUAUCCGUUGAAGUCAUUUAAGUUCAUUAAGACCAAAAAACUUUUCACGGGUUUACCUGAUCUGAAGUUUGUGCAUUUGAAUUCAAGGACCCCAUGAUGGUGAAUGGACUCAAAAACUGUAAUCUCCAUAGAGAGACCUUAAGCUUCUCCCUGAACAAUUGAGAAUUAUUUUUACUUUCAUUGACUGCAAAGCUGGCAGUAAAACAAAGAGGAAAAUAAAAAGUUAAUCAUAUUUGACAGUUACCUGCUUAACUGAAAAUAUUUAUCAGGUAAAUAAAGAGUUUUGGUUAUUACCUUGACUCUUUUACUCUAUCAAAGUGCUACUUUGUGUCAUGCUAAAAGAGUUCAAGGUAAUGACCAUGACAGAGAUGGAGAAAGAAAGGAGGAUAAAAUGAUACCUUUGUAAUAUUGUUAGUCAUUUGAUAUCUCCUCUGUUGUGUUAGUUGAUUCUUUGUCGCUUUUACUCCCCACUCUUCUCGAUCCCACUGUGUAGGAAUACACUGAAUAUGUUGUUGUUGUUGUUGUAUUUUUUUUCCCAAAAUAUGGUGCACUAUGUUGUCUUGAGUUGUGUACUGAGGUUUCCUUUUCUCUUGAUAUAUAAGUCACGGGUAUUCUUCCAUGUUGCUUGCUUUCGUAAUGACUACAUUUUUUGAAUUAAAAAUAUCACAUGGAGUAACUUUACAUUCUACAUGGUACAUGUUUAAGUAGAACAGAUUCAGCGUUGGCUAAAAAACAGAAUGUCUGGUGCUAAAAAAAUACUUCUAUUGAAUGGCAUGUCGGGGUUAGGGAAGACUCAUCAGCAAAGGUGGUUAGUUAGUUGCUGGAUUUCAAACCAUCAAGGUAUUUUCCUUUAAAACUUUAAAAAUUUUCGAACUGUAAUUUAAUAAUUUUUUGCCAACACGUACAUUCCUGUUGGAUUAGCAUAACAGUACUUUUAUGCAUAAUAUAAUACCAAAUGCAUGAAACAUAAAUUGGUAUUGAGUACAGAAAGUAUAGCGCAAUAAGAUGAUAUCAAAAUAUGAAAACUUGAAUAAAUUGUAAUUGUCACCAUCUAAACAUCCAUAAUAUAAAUCAAAUGCUGAAAUUAAUCACUA
Molecule: long non-coding RNA, 2666 nt
Organism: Capsicum annuum
Lineage: Eukaryota; Viridiplantae; Streptophyta; Magnoliopsida; Solanales; Solanaceae
Exons: 4
Source: RefSeq, a predicted model, not a curated record